UCCUGGCUGAGGACGGGUGUUGAA
Molecule: microRNA, 24 nt
Filed under: Carica papaya (papaya)
Lineage: Eukaryota; Viridiplantae; Streptophyta; Magnoliopsida; Brassicales; Caricaceae
Description: cpa-miR8139e
Source: miRBase by way of RNAcentral